This 385-nucleotide ribosomal RNA is filed under the name uncultured bacterium. RNAcentral's name for it is "bacterial SSU rRNA". It matches the Rfam family "Bacterial small subunit ribosomal RNA", at positions 28 to 417 of the family's 1533-position model. The record is from RNAcentral.
GACGAACGCUGGCGGCGUGCUUAACACAUGCAAGUCGAACGAUGAAGCCUUUCGGGGUGGAUUAGUGGCGAACGGGUGAGUAACACGUGGGCAACCUGCCCUGUACUUUGGGAUAAGCCUUGGAAACGAGGUCUAAUACCGGAUAUGAUGAGUCCUCGCAUGGGGGUUUGUUGAAAGUUCCGGCGGUACAGGAUGAGCCCGCGGCCUAUCAGCUUGUUGGUGGGGUAAUGGCCUACCAAGGCGACGACGGGUAGCCGGCCUGAGAGGGCGACCGGCCACACUGGGACUGAGACACGGCCCAGACUCCUACGGGAGGCAGCAGUGGGGAAUAUUGCACAAUGGGCGAAAGCCUGAUGCAGCGACGCCGCGUGAGGGAUGACGGCCU